RNAcentral lists this ribosomal RNA (372 nucleotides) under Triticum aestivum (bread wheat). RNAcentral describes it as "partial small subunit ribosomal RNA". Lineage: Eukaryota; Viridiplantae; Streptophyta; Magnoliopsida; Poales; Poaceae. The record is from RNAcentral.
AUGCCUGACCUUCAUGUUUAUCUUUUCAUGGUCAUGGAAAAAUUAAUGCUCAGCGGAUUCGUCAAGGCCACGUCCGCGGCACGGCGAGACGCCCGCGAAGCAUUGCUUGCUUCCAUGCCGACGCGAGCUGCCAGUCCACCCAGCUCACGAAUAGCCUCACGGGUCUCCGAUCCAGCACCCUCCCUAUGGCACAGCUCCACCAUGCUAACUGAUGCUGCCUACGCCAUGGAAAGGCUUGUUGUCGAGAGACGUGAAGAAAGUCUGAUAGUAGUUGCUGCAUUCGAGUUGAUUUCUAUCCCCAGAGCAUCAAUCUUGGCACACUCUUUGAGAAGCAAACAGUAUGCUCAACAUCUCAAAUUGUUCAUGCAUUAA